CCUACGGGCGGCUGCAGUGGGGAAUAUUGGACAAUGGGGGGAACCCUGAUCCAGCCAUGCCGCGUGUGUGAAGAAGGCCCUCGGGUUGUAAAGCACUUUCAGUGAGGAAGAACGCCUGGUGGUUAAUACCCAUCAGGAAAGACAUCACUCACAGAAGAAGCACCGGCUAACUCCGUGCCAGCAGCCGCGGUAAUACGGAGGGUGCGAGCGUUAAUCGGAAUUACUGGGCGUAAAGCGCGCGUAGGUGGCUUGAUAAGCCGGUUGUGAAAGCCCCGGGCUCAACCUGGGAACGGCAUCCGGAACUGUCAAGCUAGAGUGCAGGAGAGGAAGGUAGAAUUCCCGGUGUAGCGGUGAAAUGCGUAGAGAUCGGGAGGAAUACCAGUGGCGAAGGCGGCCUUCUGGACUGACACUGACACUGAGGUGCGAAAGCGUGGGUAGCAAACAGGAUUAGAUACCUUGUAGUC
Molecule: ribosomal RNA, 464 nt
Filed under: Vreelandella stevensii
Lineage: Bacteria; Pseudomonadati; Pseudomonadota; Gammaproteobacteria; Oceanospirillales; Halomonadaceae
Description: partial 16S ribosomal RNA
Rfam family: Bacterial small subunit ribosomal RNA
Source: RNAcentral